This 253-nucleotide ribosomal RNA is filed under the name uncultured bacterium. Its description in RNAcentral is "partial 16S ribosomal RNA". It matches the Rfam family "Bacterial small subunit ribosomal RNA", at positions 524 to 776 of the family's 1533-position model. The record is from RNAcentral.
UACGUAGGUGGCAAGCGUUAUCCGGAAUUAUUGGGCGUAAAGCGCGCGCAGGCGGUUUCUUAAGUCUGAUGUGAAAGCCCACGGCUCAACCGUGGAGGGUCAUUGGAAACUGGGGAACUUGAGUGCAGAAGAGAAAAGCGGAAUUCCACGUGUAGCGGUGAAAUGCGUAGAGAUGUGGAGGAACACCAGUGGCGAAGGCGGCUUUUUGGUCUGUAACUGACGCUGAGGCGCGAAAGCGUGGGGAGCGAACGGG